ACUCUAGGCAACGGAUAUCUUGGCUCUUGCAUCAAUGAAGAACAUAUCAAAAUGCGAUACUUGGUGUGAAUUGCCGAAUCCCAUGAACCAUCGAGUCUUUGAACGCAAUUUGCGACCGAAGCCAUUAGGCCGAGGGCAUGUCUGCCCCCCUCACAUCUCGCCUUCAUCACGGGGUGCGUUCUCGUCGCCCCCUCGCAUCGCGCCUCCAUCACGGGGUGACCUAUCGUCGCGGGGAAAAUACUGGCCUCCCGUGUGCCUCGCGCUCGCUGCUGGCCUAAAUACGAGUCCACGUCGAUGGACAUCACAGCAAGUGGCGGUUGCAACUCAACUCUUUUUCCCAUCGCAGCUACGGCCCAUCGAGCGUCCCGGAAUCCAGGACCCCUUCGCGCUCAGUCGCUUCGACCGCGACACCAGGUCAGGCGGGAUUACCCGCUGAGUUUAAGAAUAUCAAUAAGCGGAGGAAAAGAAACUUAUAAGGAUUCCCUUAGUAACGACGAGCGAAUCGGGAACAGCCCAGCCAUAGAAUCGGGCGGCUCCGUCGUCCGAAUUGUAGUCUGGAGAGCCGUAUCGGGACCAAGUCCCCUGGAAGGGGGCGCCGGUGAGGGUGAGAGACCCGUUGUGCCCGGACCCUAUCACACCAUGAGGCGCUGUCUACGAGUUGGGUUGUUUGGGAAUGCAGCCCAAAUCGGGCGGUGAAUUUCGUCCAAGGAUAAAUACGGGUGAGAGACCGAUAGCGAACAAGUACCGCGAGGGAAAGAUGAAAAGGACUUUGAAAAUAGAGUCAAAGAGUGCUUGCAAUUUUCGGGAGGAAAGCGGAUAGGGGCCGGCGAUGCGCCCUGAGAAGGAUGUAGAACGGCGAUGAGCCGGUCUGCCAAUCGACACGGGGCGUGGACCAGCGUUGAUUGGGGGGGCGGCCAAAGCCCGGGCACUCGAUAUACUUGUGGAACUCCAUCUCCUCGAUUGUGGCAGGCGCGUGCGCCUCCAGCGUGCUUCGGCAUUUGCGUGCUCCGAACGCUGGCCUGUGGGCUCCCCAUUCGACCCGUCUUGAAACACGGACCAAGGAGUCUGACAUGUGUGUGUGUCAACCUACGAGUAUACCCGUAAGGCGCAAUGAAGUUUAUUGGUGGGAUCCCCUCGAGGAGUGCACCGCCGACCGACCUUGAUCUUUUGAGAAGGGUUUGAGUGUGAGCAUACCUGUCGGGACCCGAAAGAUGGUGAACUAUGACUGAGUGGGGCAAAGCCAGAGGAAACUCAAGUAUAGGCCCGUAGCGAUACUGACGUGUAAAUCAUUCGUCUGACUUGGGUAUAGGGGCAAAAGACUAAUCGAAUCAUGUAGUAGAUGGUUCCCACCGAAGUUUCCCUCAGGAUAGCUAGAGCUCGUGCGCGAGUUCUAUCGGGUAAAGCUAAAGAUUUGAGGCCUCGGGGGCGCAACGCCCUCGACAUAUUCUCAAACUUUAAAUAGGUAAGACGAUGCGGCUUCUUGGUUGAGCCGCACCACGGAAUCAAGAGCUCUAAGUGGGCCAUAUUUGGUAAGCAGAACUGGCGAUGCGGGAUGAACAAAAAGCCGGGUUACGGUGACAAACUGGGCACUAACCUAUAUCCCACAAAGGGUGUUGGUCGAUUAAGACAGCAGGACAGUGGUCAUGGAAGUCGAAAUUUGCUAAGGAGUGUAUAACAACUCACCUUUCGAAUAAACUAGCCUCAAAAAUAGAUGGCGCUUAAGCGCGCGACCUACACCCGGCCGUCGGGGAAAAUGCCAGGCCCCGAUGAGUAGGAGGGCGCAGUGAUCGCUGCAAAACCUUGGACGCAAUCCCAGGCGGAGCGGUCGUCGGUGCAGAUCAAGGUGGUAGUAGCAAAUAUUCAAAUGAGAACUUUGAAUGUCGAAAAGGGGAAAGGUUCCAUGUUAACGCCACUUGCACAUGGGUUAGUCGAUCCUAAGGGUCGGGGAAACCUCGACAGACAGUGCAUUUCGCAGCUGCUCCGAAAGGAAAUCGGGUUAAAAUUCCUGAACCGGGAUGUGGCGGUCGACGGCAAGUUAGGAAGUCCAGAGACAUCGGCGGGAGCCUCGGGAAAAGUUAUCUUUUCUAUUAAAUAGCCUGCCCACCCUGGAAUCAGCUCAGUCGGAGGUAGGGUCCAGCGGUUGGAAGAGCACCGCACGUCGCGUAGUGUCCAGUGCCUUCCCGGCGGCCCUUGAAAAUAUAGAAGAACGAAUGUCGUUCAUGCCCGGUCAUACUUAUAACUGCAUCAGGUCUCCAAGGUGAACAACCUCUGGUCGAUGGAACAAUGUAGGCAAGGGAAGUAAGCAAAAUGGAUCCGUAACUUUGGGAAAAGGAUUGGCUCUGAGGGCUAGGCAUGGGGGUCCCAGUCCCGAGCCCGUCGGCUGUCGGUGGACUGCUCGAGAUGCUCCCCUUGCAUUGAAUAGCCAACUCAGAACUGGUACGGACAAGGGGAAUCCAACUGUUUAAUUAAAACAAAGCAUUGCGAAGGUCCCAAUGGAUGUUCACGCAAUAUGAUUUCUGCCCUGUGCUCUGAAUGUCAAACUGAAGAAAUUCAACCAAGCUUGGGUAAAUGGCGAGAGUAACUCUGACUCACUUAAGGUAGCCAAAUGCCUCGUCAUCUAAUUAGUGAUGUGUAUGAAUGGAUUAACGAGAUUCCUACUGUCCCUA
RNAcentral lists this ribosomal RNA (2666 nucleotides) under Capsicum baccatum. Its description in RNAcentral is "eukaryotic LSU rRNA". The stretch from base 406 to 2666 matches the Rfam family "Eukaryotic large subunit ribosomal RNA", at positions 1 to 2347 of the family's 3401-position model. The record is from RNAcentral. Lineage: Eukaryota; Viridiplantae; Streptophyta; Magnoliopsida; Solanales; Solanaceae.